UACGGAGGGAGCUAGCGUUGUUCGGAAUUACUGGGCGUAAAGCGCACGUAGGCGGCUUUCUAAGUCAGGGGUGAAAUCCUGGAGCUCAACUCCAGAACUGCCUUUGAUACUGAGGAUCUCGAGUCCGGGAGAGGUGAGUGGAACUCCGAGUGUAGAGGUGAAAUUCGUAGAUAUUCGGAAGAACACCAGUGGCGAAGGCGGCUCACUGGCCCGGUACUGACGCUGAUGUGCGAAAGCGUGGGGAGCAAACAGG
This 253-nucleotide ribosomal RNA is filed under the name uncultured bacterium. Its description in RNAcentral is "partial 16S ribosomal RNA". It matches the Rfam family "Bacterial small subunit ribosomal RNA", at positions 524 to 776 of the family's 1533-position model. The record is from RNAcentral.